Bactrocera oleae (olive fruit fly) is the source of this 2195-nucleotide non-coding RNA. The record is from RefSeq and is a predicted model, not a curated record. Lineage: Eukaryota; Metazoa; Arthropoda; Insecta; Diptera; Tephritidae.
CCAGAGUGAGUUAUAGUUAGACGAUUUAUCGAGAAAUCCGUUACAAUACGUAUAACCGACGUAAAUAUCAUUUCCAUAUAAUUUUAAUCUGUGUGGACCCUUAGUGACCAGAAAUCAAAUUUUAAUUAUAAUUGUAUUGUAUUGUUACGGCUCCUGGUGUUAUCUGGAAUUAUUGUUCCACAACCGACAAUGACAAUAAAGUAAAGUGUAAUAUUUGUAAAAAAAAAAAAUUUUAUUUAAUAAGAGCACAUCAACUAUAAGCAAUUGCAAUCAUCUCAUAAAAUUCAUGCGCCUUCAAACAAAGAUACUCCGUCACGGAAAAGAGCAAACGGUGGAGAAAAUGAUUUAGUGAUUCAACCUAAAAAGGCUUUGAUGGCUAUUGAAUCAUCUGCUUCUCAUGCAUCAGUUUCUAUAGAAAAUAAAAGCACUAUUUCUUUACAGUCAACUUCUUCACUCAAACUUCAAUCAGGGGCUCCUUGAUCGCUGUAUAAAUAAUGCUACUCCUUUUGCCGGUAUUUAUUAGUUUAAUUUUUCGACAAAAAUACCAGGACUUAUGUAAUAAAGUCAAGAUCGAGCUUCAACCAGCUAAGUAUGUUUGCUUAACGAUAGAUAUUUGGACACACCAUCAUACGAUGAAGAGUUAUCUCGGUUUGACAGUUCACUACUUGAAAGGAGUUGAAAUGAAAACCGUUGGCUAGGAGCUUAUCAUAUGGAAGAGCGUAAAACGAUUGAAAUUUUGAGGUCGAAAUUAAGAAAAAUAUGUUAUGGCUGGAGUCUAAGUGAUGAAAAAAUUGCUGCAUUUGUUUCUGACGGAGGAUCGAAUAUUAAGGGUAAUUAAAAGUGAAUUCGUCAGUGAAAAACACAUUUUGUGUAAUGGACAUGGCAUCAACAAUAUUGGGCAAAGAGUGAUCGAUAUAAAUGUAACCCCACCAGCAUCUGAAUCUGUAGAUCAAAUAGUCGAACUUCCUUUAUAUGAAGAUGAUAUUAUCGAUGAUUCAGUAAUUUUAGAGCCUGACAAAACUACUGAUCAAAAAAUAUUACGUGAUCUGUUGACAAAAGUUUAAAAAAUCUUAACAUUUUUUAGACUCAGUGAAAGAGCUACAAAUGAGUUGUUGACCUUACAAAACAAGUUACCAGAAGUAAAGCAUCUUAAACUAAUACAGGAAGUAAAAAUAAGAUGGAAAUCGUGUUAUGAAAUGGUUAAUCGAUUUAUUGUACUUGCCGACUAUGUUGGAAAUGUCCUUCUUCAGAUUAAAUUGGACAAAUCGUCAAAAGAAAACUGAAGAUUUUAAUCCAGAUACUGCGAUAGGGUGACAAUUACAAAAAAAACUCACUCAAGAAAUUGAAAAUAUAUAUGGAAACAUUGAAUCGGUGAAAUUGUAUGCUUGCGCAACUUUUCUUGAUCCUCGGUAUAAGAGGUGCGCCUGUUAUAGUAUUCGAGAAUCUGCUCGUGCAGUCACCAACGUUGGCGAUCUGGUUAGGAUUGAGAGAAAGUUAGCCUUACAAGCAACGGAUUCUUCUGUAAUACCUUUCGAUAAAGAAGUUACUCCAGUUAUUGAAGCCCAAGAAUCUCAGAAAGACAAAAAGGAGAUGAUAUUUGGUCAUAUCUCGAUGAAGCUAUCAACUGCGCAAAGCGGGAGGAUUGCCGGUACCGUUGCGUCAGUAUUUAAAUCGUCCAGUUGUGGCACGACAACAAUGCCCUAAUCCACUUGUUUUUUGGGAAUCAAUUAAACAUGAAUAUCCUCACUUAUGGAGUGUAUCGAGGAAAUUUCUAUCGAUUGUAGCAACUUCUGUACCCUGUGAAAAUUGUUUUCCCAUGCUGGACUCAUUGCUAAUCAAUUGAGGAGUCGUUUAUCACCUCAGCAUUUUGAUGAACUAGUGUUUCUGAGAUCAAUUAGCGAAGACAUGUGGGAAUCUUAAAUUAUCUUUUUAAAUUUCUAUGUCAUAUGGAUACCUUAUUAAACUCUAAACUAAUAUUUUAAUGUUAUAUUAUUAAUUAGUAAUAAAUAUAUAUAUUUAAUUGUUACUUUAAUACUUAACUUGAAUAUUAAAAAUUAAUUUUCGGUGCCAUACUCAGCGCAAUUUUAACAAAGAAUAAAUAUUUAAAAAAGUAUUAAAUACUUAUGUGUGUAUUCUUCAAAUAUAAUUUGUCAACGAUGAAUAAAUGAAUAUCACUUUUAAUAACAAUAAAGAAA